This 27-nucleotide non-coding RNA is filed under the name Bombyx mori (domestic silkworm). Lineage: Eukaryota; Metazoa; Arthropoda; Insecta; Lepidoptera; Bombycidae. The record is from RNAcentral.
UAAGAUCUGAUGCUGCUCGGCUGGAUA